AGUAAAGUCAGCUAAANAAAGGUUUCGGGCCCAUACCCCGAAUAUGGUGGUUAAACCCCCUCCUUUACUA
RNAcentral lists this transfer RNA (70 nucleotides) under Crinia nimbus. RNAcentral's name for it is "tRNA-Met". It matches the Rfam family "tRNA". Rfam says of the family: Transfer RNA (tRNA) molecules are approximately 80 nucleotides in length. Their secondary structure includes four short double-helical elements and three loops (D, anti-codon, and T loops). The record is from RNAcentral. Lineage: Eukaryota; Metazoa; Chordata; Amphibia; Anura; Myobatrachidae.